UGAGCGUGACCCCGGCUUAGUGAGCUGCCUGAGAAACCGGCCACAGCCGGUGUAUAGCAGGUGGAUAGGUGAGGAGGUGGAAGCACAGAGGGCUAACUGUCCUGAAGUCACAUGACUGAAAUGUCACUCACAGCCAGGAGUCAAACUUGUUUGUUAUAAUUACCAUAGUUAACUUGAUUUUAAAAAAGGAGAAAUAGAAUUUUUUUUCUCUUUAAAGUCACAAUGUAUAGAAUGGUGUUAAGAGACAUGAACUAGGCUCAGAAAGCCAAAUAGCGCUUUUUUUUUUCUCUGUAAUCCUGGCUGUCCUGGAACUCGUUCUGUAGAACGGAUUGUCCUGGAACUCAGAGAGCUCCUCCUACCUCUGCCUCCCGAGUGCUGGGAUUAAAGCUAUGUGCCAUCACCACCCUGCAAAUCUUUCUUAUAUUUACUGGUGGGUGCACAAGCAAGCCUCAUGUUCUACAGGGUGAGUGUGGGGGGUCAGAGGACAACCUGCAGGAGUUGGUUCUCUCCAUCUACUGUCCAUCUAUGUCCAGACAUAGAACUUGGACCAUUGAGUGGCAAAUACCCUUUACCUGCAGCGCCGUCUCACCUGCCUGAGAUUCUCUUACAAGACACAAAGGGAAAGGGAAAUGUUGGGGAAGAAGGAGGGAGCCAACAGAAGGCAGGGGACAGAGAAUAAUGGGGUGACUAUGAUCAAAUAUAUACAUGUAUGGAGCGAUCAUAAUACAACCCAUGUAAUUAAUAUAUAUGCCAACCUAAAAGCUUUUUAAGUCUUCACAGUAACUAAAGAUUAAAUAAACUAAAACAGUUCAUAUCAAUCACUGUCAAAACAUAACCAAGGCAUUUUAACCCUGUCUGACCAAGAAACGGAUUUAUAAUCAGCAACAGCCUGCCACUGUCACUACUGUUUGAGAAGUCUUUGGGGUGUGGGGUUGGGGCAGAAAAGGAAAUAUAUUCAAAGUACGUUACACAUUUGCAUGGAAAUGGCCUUAUGUGACCCUGUAAAAAUAACCAAGU
This 1017-nucleotide long non-coding RNA is filed under the name Mus musculus (house mouse). RNAcentral's name for it is "long non-coding RNA chr11:96639973-96640990". The record is from RNAcentral. Lineage: Eukaryota; Metazoa; Chordata; Mammalia; Rodentia; Muridae.